UAAUACAGAGGGUGCGAGCGUUAAUCGGAUUUACUGGGCGUAAAGGGCGCGUAGGCGGUUUGGUGAGUGUGAUGUGAAAGCCCCGGGCUUAACCUGGGAAGUGCAUCGCAAACGACCAGACUGGAGUAUAAGAGAGGGUGGCGGAAUUUCCGGUGUAGCGGUGAAAUGCGUAGAGAUCGGAAGGAACGUCAAUGGCGAAGGCAGCCACCUGGCUUAAUACUGACGCUGAGGCGCGAAAGCGUGGGGAUCGAACAGG
RNAcentral lists this ribosomal RNA (256 nucleotides) under uncultured bacterium. RNAcentral describes it as "partial 16S ribosomal RNA". It matches the Rfam family "Bacterial small subunit ribosomal RNA", at positions 521 to 776 of the family's 1533-position model. The record is from RNAcentral.